Long non-coding RNA from Myotis daubentonii (Daubenton's bat), 270 nucleotides. RefSeq lists it as uncharacterized. NCBI's taxonomy places the organism in Eukaryota, Metazoa, Chordata, Mammalia, Chiroptera, Vespertilionidae. The record is from RefSeq and is a predicted model, not a curated record. The transcript has 3 exons.
CUUUGAAAUAGGGUCGUGCGAAGAGGCCCAGAGUGAAACACAAAGUGGCCACCAUCAGCAUGAGGACCCCAACAGGUCAAACUGGUGAGAUGAGCAAAACGGAAGGCAGCUUUCAAGGUUCAUUUCAAGCAGUUGGCUUGUGGGAAUCUGAGAGACGCUGCUGUCCAUGACAUGUUGGAGUUAUCAUGAUCAACUACUCAGUCUGGAUUUCACCCAGUGGCCAACAGAUCUGCAUGGUAGACAGUAAGGGUUGGAUUUUUAAGAAGAGUA